RNAcentral lists this transfer RNA (73 nucleotides) under Trichonephila inaurata madagascariensis. It matches the Rfam family "tRNA". From Rfam's summary of the family: Transfer RNA (tRNA) molecules are approximately 80 nucleotides in length. Their secondary structure includes four short double-helical elements and three loops (D, anti-codon, and T loops). The record is from Rfam by way of RNAcentral. Lineage: Eukaryota; Metazoa; Arthropoda; Arachnida; Araneae; Nephilidae.
GUCCAUGUAGCGCAUUGGAUAGCGUGUUGAACUUCUAAUCCAAAGUUCGUGGGUUCGAAUCCCGCCAGGGAUG